Molecule: ribosomal RNA, 492 nt
Filed under: uncultured bacterium
Lineage: Bacteria
Description: partial 16S ribosomal RNA
Rfam family: Bacterial small subunit ribosomal RNA
Source: RNAcentral
AGUGAACGCUGGCGGUAGGCCUAACACAUGCAAGUCGAACGGCAGCACAGUAAGAGCUUGCUCUUACGGGUGGCGAGUGGCGGACGGGUGAGGAAUACAUCGGAAUCUACUUUUUCGUGGGGGAUAACGUAGGGAAACUUACGCUAAUACCGCAUACGACCUACGGGUGAAAGCAGGGGAUCUUCUGACCUUGCGCGAUUGAAUGAGCCGAUGUCGGAUUAGCUAGUUGGCGGGGUAAAGGCCCACCAAGGCGACGAUCCGUAGCUGGUCUGAGAGGAUGAUGAGCCACACGGGAAGUGAGACACGGUCCAGACUCCUACGGGAGGCAGAAGUGGGGAAUAUUGGACAAUGGGCGCAAGCCUGCUCCAGCCAUACCGCGUGGGUGAAGAAGGCCUUCGGGUUGUAAAGCCCUUUUGUUGGGAAAGACAAGCAGCAGGUUAAUACCACGCUGUUGUGACGGUACCCAAAGAAUAAGCACCGGCUAACUUCGUG